UACGGGGGGAGCAAGCGUUGUUCGGAUUUACUGGGCGUAAAGGGCGCGUAGGCGGCCUGUGCAAGUCAGUUGUGAAAUCUCCGAGCUUAACUCGGAAAGGUCAACUGAUACUGCUCGGCUAGAGUGCGGAAGGGGCAACUGGAAUUCUUGGUGUAGCGGUGAAAUGCGUAGAUAUCAAGAGGAACACCUGCGGCGAAGGCGGGUUGCUGGGCCGACACUGACGCUGAAGCGCGAAAGCUAGGGGAGCGAACGGG
Molecule: ribosomal RNA, 254 nt
Filed under: uncultured bacterium
Lineage: Bacteria
Description: partial 16S ribosomal RNA
Rfam family: Bacterial small subunit ribosomal RNA
Source: RNAcentral